RNAcentral lists this long non-coding RNA (211 nucleotides) under Elaeis guineensis (African oil palm). Its description in RNAcentral is "long non-coding RNA (EGUI_LNC018658)". Lineage: Eukaryota; Viridiplantae; Streptophyta; Magnoliopsida; Arecales; Arecaceae. The record is from RNAcentral.
GUGUGGAACAGACUUCCUACAAAGAUGCGUCUUGCUUACUGUCAUAUCAUCCCCUCUGACAAUAUUUUUUGUGAUUUAUGUAUAGAUCAAAUUGAAGAUUACUCUCAUCCUGUUAUUGAAUGCCAGUUUGUCAAAAUUUGUUGGCAGUUAUGUGCCACUUGACUUUCUUUCCGGAUUCUUUGCCAGCUAUGGUUCAGCAUUUAGCCACAGC